GCAAUCCUUCGGGGCGGGGUGAAAUUCCCCACCGGCGGUGAUGGCGCAUGCCUCAGUCCGUGACCCGCAUACGUUGCGGUGGAUCCGGUGAAAUUCCGGAGCCGACAGUGAAAGUCUGGAUGGGAGAAGGAUGUG
Molecule: non-coding RNA, 135 nt
Filed under: Edaphobacillus lindanitolerans
Lineage: Bacteria; Bacillati; Bacillota; Bacilli; Caryophanales; Bacillaceae
Description: FMN sequence
Rfam family: FMN riboswitch aptamer (RFN element)
About the family: The RFN element is a highly conserved domain that is found frequently in the 5'-untranslated regions of prokaryotic mRNAs that encode for flavin mononucleotide (FMN) biosynthesis and transport proteins.
Source: RNAcentral